Long non-coding RNA from Carassius auratus (goldfish), 1213 nucleotides. RefSeq lists it as uncharacterized. The transcript is spliced from 3 exons. Lineage: Eukaryota; Metazoa; Chordata; Actinopteri; Cypriniformes; Cyprinidae. The record is from RefSeq and is a predicted model, not a curated record.
GCCCGCUCCAAUAUGGCGGCGACGUUGACGUGCGGUCGAGUGGCCAAUGAGGCGUCUAGAUUUCUGAUAGAAGCUCUCAGAGACCUGGACUCCAGUCUGAAGAAACUCAACUCCAGGUAAGGUUGGAAAAAAGGUUAAGGUUUGGGUCAAAUGUUUUUCCUUCAUGCAACGCAGAGGUCCUUCCAAAGCUCUUUGAGAAAUGGAAGAUCACCCGGUUGACUUUCGAGGUUGUUACAGAGCCAUAUAGUCAGAGUAUAGACAAUGAUGUCAUGAAGUUGGCAGAGGAAUAUGGAGUGUAAGUUAUUCCAAAGAUUUCUCACACUCUCUACAACAUUGACAGGUAAUUGCUAUUAUUUGUAAAUCAAAUUUUAUAUUUUAAAAGAAGAAUUAUUGACGAGAACAACUGCAAGCCUCCCAUGACUUACGUUCACUUCUGUGGAGAAGGCCAUUGGUCCUCCUAAAAAACCUGUUCCAACCAAAGAGGACAUGAAAGGUAUCUUUUUGGACAUCAUGCGACGAGAAGAGAGACUGUAGCUGGGUUUUCUUUCCUCAGUAAUGCCUCUUUCCCUGGAAGAUGUGUCCACUUCAUUUUCUGUGGACCAUGAAGAGGAUUUUGGGAUUCCAACUCUUGAAGAUCUUGGACUGGAUACAUCAUCCUUAGGACCAGAUCUGUUCCCGGUGGGUGAACAAGCUCUGCACAGACUGGACGAGCACAUGCAGAGAAUGGUGUGGGUGUGCAAGCUUAAAACAAACAAACAUUCCUCAACUCCAUGAGCCCCAGCACCACCAUCCUGAGCCCAUACAUCCGAUCCGGCUGCUCAUCUGGAUGCACCUUCUGGUGGUGCAGUGAUCAACAUACUUUCAGCUCAUUAAAAUUGGCAGCUUGGUUUUUGGACUGACAAGUCGAGAACUCUUGAGGAUGUAGAUAUUAGUGGGCCCGGUCCUGACUCUAACUUCUGCAUACAUGUGAUUUUAAUAAUUAAAAAUAAUGACAGUGAUCAAUUUAAUCCCAGUCACUCUUUUAUUCACCCAUUUAAAGACAAAUCAAACAGUUAUCUGGCCUGCUGAUUGCAGAAAUGAUUUAUGAACAUUAUUCUCACCUUUUCAGGUGAUUUGACACCUUCUGCCCCCAGUAAACAUCACAUUUGACAAUCAAAUUUAAAAAACAAACCAAGAAAAAAAAAAAAAGGUAAGAAAAAGAAAAUCUCUUUCA